UUUCCUGAUGUCACACUGCCAAGAAAAGCUUCUAGUGAGAAAGUAACUGCCCGUACCGCAAACCGACACAGGUAGUUGAGGAGAGAAUCCUAAGGUGUGCGAGAGAACUCUCGUUAAGGAACUCGGCAAAAUGACCCCGUAACUUCGGGAGAAGGGGUGCUGACCGCAAGGUCAGCCGCAGUGAAUAGGCCCAAGCGACUGUUUAUCAAAAACACAGGUCUCUGCAAAAUCGAAAGAUGACGUAUAGGGGCUGACGCCUGCCCGGUGCUGGAAGGUUAAGAGGAGAGGUUAGCGCAAGCGAAGCUUUGAAUUGAAGCCCCAGUAAACGGCGGCCGUAACGAUAACGGUCCUAAGGUAGCGAAAUUCCUUGUCGGGUAAGUUCCGACCCGCACGAAAGGCGUAACGAUUUGGGCACUGUCUCAACGAGAGACUCGGUGAAAUUAUAGUACCAGUGAAGAUGCUGGUUACCCGCGACAGGACGGAAAGACCCCAUGGAGCUUUAUUGCAGUUUGAUAUUGCGUGUUUGUAUCACAUGUACAGGAUAGGUAGGAGCCGAAGAUACCGGGACGCCAGUCCCGGAGGAGGCAACGGUGGGAUACUACCCUUGUGAUAUGACCACUCUAACCCGCUGCUCUUAGCGAGCAGGGAGACAGUGUCAGACGGGCAGUUUGACUGGGGCGGUCGCCUCCAAAAAUGUAACGGAGGCGCCCAAAGGUUCCCUCAGAAUGGUUGGAAAUCAUUCGUAGAGUGUAAAGGCAGAAGGGAGCUUGACUGCGAGACCUACAAGUCGAGCAGGGACGAAAGUCGGGCUUAGUGAUCCGGUGGUUCCGCAUGGAAGGGCCAUCGCUCAACGGAUAAAAGCUACCCUGGGGAUAACAGGCUUAUCUCCCCCAAGAGUUCACAUCGACGGGGAGGUUUGGCACCUCGAUGUCGGCUCAUCGCAUCCUGGGGCUGUAGUCGGUCCCAAGGGUUGGGCUGUUCGCCCAUUAAAGCGGUACGCGAGCUGGGUUCAGAACGUCGUGAGACAGUUCGGUCCCUAUCCGUCGCGGGCGUUGGAAAUUUGAGAGGAGCUGUCCUUAGUACGAGAGGACCGGGAUGGACACACCGCUGGUGUACCAGUUGUUCUGCCAAGAGCAUCGCUGGGUAGCUAUGUGUGGACGGGAUAAACGCUGAAAGCAUCUAAGCGUGAAGCCCCCCUCAAGAUGAGAUUUCCCAUCACUUUAAGUGAGUAAGACCCCUGAGAGAUGAUCAGGUAGAUAGGUUGGGAGUGGAAGUACAGCGAUGUAUGGAGCGGACCAAUACUAAUCGGUCGAGGACUUAACCU
Molecule: ribosomal RNA, 1324 nt
Filed under: metagenome
Description: bacterial LSU rRNA
Rfam family: Bacterial large subunit ribosomal RNA
Source: RNAcentral